RNAcentral lists this transfer RNA (75 nucleotides) under Dehalococcoides mccartyi. Its description in RNAcentral is "tRNA-Ile". It matches the Rfam family "tRNA". From Rfam's summary of the family: Transfer RNA (tRNA) molecules are approximately 80 nucleotides in length. Their secondary structure includes four short double-helical elements and three loops (D, anti-codon, and T loops). Further hydrogen bonds mediate the characteristic L-shaped molecular structure. tRNAs have two regions of fundamental functional importance: the anti-codon, which is responsible for specific mRNA codon recognition, and the 3' end, to which the tRNAs corresponding amino acid is attached (by aminoacyl-tRNA synthetases). tRNAs cope with the degeneracy of the genetic code in two manners: having more than one tRNA (with a specific anti-codon) for a particular amino acid; and 'wobble' base-pairing, i.e. permitting non-standard base-pairing at the 3rd anti-codon position. The record is from RNAcentral. Lineage: Bacteria; Bacillati; Chloroflexota; Dehalococcoidia; Dehalococcoidales; Dehalococcoidaceae. RNAcentral also lists the same sequence under 15 other names.
GGGCUCGUAGCUCAGGGGCAGAGCGGGCGGCUCAUAACCGCUUGGUCGUAGGUUCGAAACCUACCGAGCCCACCA